This 761-nucleotide ribosomal RNA is filed under the name uncultured Trebouxia photobiont. Its description in RNAcentral is "eukaryotic LSU rRNA". The stretch from base 352 to 505 matches the Rfam family "5.8S ribosomal RNA". Lineage: Eukaryota; Viridiplantae; Chlorophyta; Trebouxiophyceae; Trebouxiales; Trebouxiaceae. The record is from RNAcentral.
GUUCGUUAAACCCUCCCACCUAGAGGAAGGAGAAGUCGUAACAAGGUUUCCGUAGGUGAACCUGCGGAAGGAUCAUUGAAUCUAUCGUGCCCACACCGCGAAACUACUUAUGCCCUUCUGGAACAGGCAAACUUUAUUGUUUGCCCUUCAGUUGCGCAGGUCAGGGGCUGGCUCCUUUUGGUGUCAGUUGACUUGACUGGGCGGGUCCAAUACCAGCCGGAUUCACCUUGCCUUCUAGGCUUGGGGUUCUGCCGGCUGUGAGGGGUGGCUGUUUAACUCACUUUAAGCAAUCAAUUCUGAAGGCAGAUCUAUAGGCUGGCUAUGCUGGCUGUAGUCUGAUUAAAUAUAGACAACUCUCAACAACGGAUAUCUUGGCUCCCGUAACGAUGAAGAACGCAGCGAAAUGCGAUACGUAGUGUGAAUUGCAGAAUUCCGUGAACCAUCGAAUCUUUGAACGCAAAUUGCGCUCGAGGCCUCGGCCAAGAGCAUGUCUGCCUCAGCGUCGGCUACUACCCUCAACUAAGUUUCCUAUACACAUAGGGGAUGCCGGUUGGAUCUGGCCGUCCGGUUUGCCUUUUAGGUUGCCGGUCAGCUGAAAUACAUUCACGCUCUGGGGGCUGCUUUCCUUCCGAGGAGAGGCGAGUUCCGAUUUGGUAGGUGACCUUUGCCGGUUGCAUGCCUUCGUUGCCCGCUAAGCUUUCCAGUAUGCGUUGUGCAGGACGUCUUUUGGCUUUCGACCUGAGGUCAGGCAAGAACACCCG